RNAcentral lists this microRNA precursor (96 nucleotides) under Nicotiana sylvestris (wood tobacco). Its description in RNAcentral is "MIR6152 microRNA precursor family". It matches the Rfam family "MIR6152 microRNA precursor family". RNAcentral also lists the same sequence under 1 other name. Lineage: Eukaryota; Viridiplantae; Streptophyta; Magnoliopsida; Solanales; Solanaceae. The record is from Rfam by way of RNAcentral.
UAGGUAGAUUAUUGUAUUCGACUGUAUUCACGGCGUGAAAGAGGGGAUUACACUGUUUUUAAACGAAAAUUGAAUCAAUUAACAUAAUAGACUCCU